Molecule: ribosomal RNA, 406 nt
Filed under: uncultured Desulfovibrio sp.
Lineage: Bacteria; Pseudomonadati; Thermodesulfobacteriota; Desulfovibrionia; Desulfovibrionales; Desulfovibrionaceae
Description: bacterial SSU rRNA
Rfam family: Bacterial small subunit ribosomal RNA
Source: RNAcentral
CAGUACCGGAACGACCUUACCCGAAAAGGAAGGGUGCCCGUUCGGGGAAUUCCGAGACAGGUGCUGCAUGGCUGUCGUCAGCUCGUGCCGUGAGGUGUUGGGUUAAGUCCCGCAACGAGCGCAACCCUUAUUGCCAGUUGCUACCAGGUAAUGCUGGGCACUCUGGUGAGACUCGCCCCGGUUAACGGGGAGGAAGGUGGGGACGACGUCAAGUCAUCAUGGCCCUUACGCCUAGGGCUACACACGUACUACAAUGGCGCAUACAAAGGGCAGCGAUACCGCGAGGUGGAGCCAAUCCCAAAAAGUGCGUCCCAGUCCGGAUUGCAGUCUGCAACUCGACUGCAUGAAGUUGGAAUCGCUAGUAAUUCGAGAUCAGCAUGCUCGGGUGAAUGCGUUCCCGGGCCUU